UACAGAGGUGGCAAGCGUUGUUCGGAAUUACUGGGCGUAAAGGGCGCGUAGGCGGCCUACUAAGUCAGACGUGAAAUCCCCCGGCUUAACCUGGGAACUGCGUCUGAUACUGGAAGGCUUGAGGAUGGGAGAGGGAUGUAGAAUUCCAGGUGUAGCGGUGAAAUGCGUAGAUAUCUGGAGGAAUACCGGUGGCGAAGGCGGCAUCCUGGACCAUUACUGACGCUGAGGCGCGAAAGCGAGGGGAGCAAACGGG
Molecule: ribosomal RNA, 253 nt
Filed under: uncultured bacterium
Lineage: Bacteria
Description: partial 16S ribosomal RNA
Rfam family: Bacterial small subunit ribosomal RNA
Source: RNAcentral